RNAcentral lists this ribosomal RNA (400 nucleotides) under uncultured bacterium. Its description in RNAcentral is "bacterial SSU rRNA". It matches the Rfam family "Bacterial small subunit ribosomal RNA", at positions 355 to 752 of the family's 1533-position model. The record is from RNAcentral.
UAAGGAAUAUUGGGCAAUGGACGCAAGUCUGACCCAGCCAUGCCGCGUGAAGGAAGACGGCCCUAUGGGUUGUAAACUUCUUUUCUCAGGGGGUAAACUCCGGAACGUGUUCCGGACUGAAAGUACCUGAGGAAUAAGCAUCGGCUAACUCCGUGCCAGCAGCCGCGGUAAUACGGAGGAUGCGAGCGUUAUCCGGAUUCAUUGGGUUUAAAGGGUGCGCAGGCGGAUAUAUAAGUCGGAGGUGAAAUUCUGAUGCUCAACAUCAGCCGUGCCUUCGAUACUGUAUAUCUAGAGUCAAGUUGGAGUAGGCGGAAUGUGUUGUGUAGCGGUGAAAUGCUUAGAUAUAACACAGAACACCGAUCGCGAAGGCAGCUUACUAAACUUUGACUGACGCUCAUGC